GUCAAUCACCUUCAAACAAACGUUGAAUACCAGGCCCCCAUAUCCUCUUUUCAUCCACAGCCAGGUAGGGGUAUACCGUGGAGGGUAGUACUAAUGUCUUAGGACUUUUAUGCCGCCAUCCCAAAGUCAGUAUAUCCCAUUUGACCUUCUGACAAACACAAACCGAAAGAGUCAGGGAGUUAGGCUCCAACCUGUCUUAAUUGAAGACGUCAAUCAUCGUCACAGACGGCGCCUUUAUCAGUGAGAAAUAAUCUCUCGAUUCUUGAAAUCAAUGAAAAUCUGCACACAAAUAUUAUGUUACGAUUAGUUGUGAAUAGUUGAAUGUUAAUUAUUUUAUCAGGACAAUUCUAUUUGUGAAAUACCCUAUAUAUAGUUCCAAUCGAAUAGACAGCCGACUCGUGAAUUUUUUUGAAAGAAAAAAGUGAACGUUUUUUCACCGUCAGUCCGCUCUAUGACAUUCGCGAGAGAAACUGAGUGAUAACGUCAGGAAGAGUUGAUUUUAGGCAAAUUCUGGUUUUCUAAUAUGAAACUACGUCUUUGAUGGAUAUAAAGCUGCCGUGCCUUGUUGUGAUAUUGUGAUUGAGUAAUUCUGCUGUGGAGCGAUCUUGCAAUAUCCUUAAUUAUCGAUUGGGAUGAAUGAUCGAAUGAAUUAUUUCUUCUGGACUGCCUUAAAACAUUUCCGACAAUGUUAGGGUAGUCGAGCAUUGGGAGAUGUUUUUCUCAGUUAUGGUAAAUCGAAAUUUCGCCCGAACAGUGCUACCUUUGAGAACACGGCGAAAUGAAUGGGAGCACACAUGAAUAUGGAUAUACAAUAUGGAUAUACACAAACAUAAUACGAGACAAAAAAGUAACAUCCGAAUAAAAAGGACGAGGCUGAAUAUUUCCUCAUUUGCUCCUAAUGUAUUGGGCCCAAAAAUGUUUUAACAUUCUACAAAAGGAAAUAAGGUCUUGUGACUUCGUACUACUCUCCUGAUGAAUUUUUAUUAUUCGAUAACGUAUGAAACACCUAUACUUCUAUUUUGAUAAACAUUUUAUUGUAUGUUUUCAUAACUUUCCUUGAAUUGUUUACAGUAUAUUCAACACAAACUGACUAUUCCUAUACAUGUAAAUGUCACAAGAAAAGAAAACUGAUUGAUUGAAUGAUGAUUGUUUCCGAAAGUAAUGAACCUCGCUAAAUAGGUGUUUACAUAUGGUUUUGUCUGUGCCUUUGUAUAAGCGUUUCAUU
Long non-coding RNA from Leptinotarsa decemlineata (Colorado potato beetle), 1225 nucleotides. Lineage: Eukaryota; Metazoa; Arthropoda; Insecta; Coleoptera; Chrysomelidae. The record is from RefSeq and is a predicted model, not a curated record.